This 27923-nucleotide long non-coding RNA is filed under the name Medicago truncatula (barrel medic). Its description in RNAcentral is "long non-coding RNA (MTRU_LNC001991)". The record is from RNAcentral. Lineage: Eukaryota; Viridiplantae; Streptophyta; Magnoliopsida; Fabales; Fabaceae.
AGCCUUCUCUCAAUACGGCGAGAUCGUUGAUUCCAAGGUCCGUUUGUUGCUUGCAGGCUUCGGAUCGGAUCUGACACGAUUUUGAUUCGGAUUUCUAUGGAAACCUUUCUGAUCUGUGAUCUCCGAUCUGUUCUGUGUUACUUGUUACUCUGUUACUUGAUCUAUUUGUUACUGUUACUGUUACUGUAUGAUUUGAUUCUUUUAUUACUCACUCACACCAAUAGGUACGUUCAUCUUCUUCUUUGAACAAAAGUUGAAGAUCGAUCGGUUACUAUUCGGUUCUAGAUCUAUGGAUCUGUUUUUUUAUUUGAGAUUUAGGGUUUAGAUCUGAUUUUGUUUGUGUUUUGUGCAGAUCAUUAACGAUCGUGAAACUGGACGAUCAAGAGGUUUUGGAUUUGUGACAUUCGCUAACGAGAAAUCCAUGAACGAUGCCAUUGAAGCAAUGAACGGUCAGGAUUUGGACGGACGUAACAUCACUGUGAACCAAGCUCAGAGCCGUGGUAGCGGUGGAGGUGGAGGAGGAGGCCGUGGUGGCGGUGGUUAUGGAGGUGGUGGCGGUGGAUAUGGUGGAGAACGUCGUGGUUACGGUGGAGGUGGUGGAUACGGAGGAGGAGGUGGUGGUGGAUAUGGAGAACGCCGUGGUGGAGGCGGUGGCUACAGCAGAGGAGGUGGUGGUGGAGGAUAUGGUGGUGGUGGAUACAGCAGAGGUGGAGGUGAUGGUGGUUAUUAGGUUUUAGAUUUGUCGUUUAUGAUUAUUAUACUAGAUGUUGGGAUCUAGCUCUGAAAUUCUGUUUUUGUCACUGUUCUGUUAUGGCUUCGUUUUGAUGUGUCUUUUAUUGGUGUAUCUCUGAAUUUGAUUGUGUAUAACGAUCAAUUUAAAGAAGAAAAAAAAAACUGAGAUAUUAGUUGCACCAUAUUUUCUGUGUUUUAUUAUUCGUUUUUUUUUUUUUCUUCUCAUUUUUGCCUGCCGAAUAUUUAAAAAUAAUUUUAUCUAUAAUCAAAUCCAAUCUAUUAUGAAAAACACUUUCCCAAGAUAAUCGAUAAAUAUGAACAAUGAGUUGUGACCUAUAAUUAUAAUGAUCUUUUAAUUUUUUUAAUUUGGGUAAUGAAGUCAUCUGUUCAUUUUAAAAAGUUUAGAAAAAGAUGUGGUUUCAUGAUUUCCAAUUUUUUAGUUUUUUCCUCACCUGAUUACUUAGAUUUUGCGUUACACGAUUUGAUUUUUUGUUUAGACUAAACGGCCAUUCAUUGCAAUUGUACAUAUACAGCUUGUACUUAUACGAUUGAUAUUAGAACUUCCAAAUUCUGAUUUCUGCCACCAUAUAUUUAAAAUGGUUUAAUUGCACUUUUGAACUGUUGUGAUUUCAGACCUUAUCAUCCAUUAUCUGUCCGUCUUGUAGGCUUUUUAUUUAAUAUAUCUUGUCAAAGUAUUAAAAUUUUGUUAUGGGUACAAUGAAUUUUAAGAAAUUUUCAAUCUGAAACUGAUUUUAAUAUGAAGUUUUGUGACCAUGGAUACAAUAAUUAUGUUGGUAAGACAAUCAAAAUCCCUGCUAUGCUAACCUUUGUUAUGGUUGUUUCCAACAUUUUCAAUAUGAGAGGAAUAGGGUGAAAGAGGCAUAAUAGAUCCGUUUAAGAGGGAAAAAAAAUGCUUAAUAUAUGCUUUGGUCCCUUAAAUUAUUUUUGGUUUUCAUUUUGAUCCCCUAACUAUAAAACGUCUCAAUUUGGUCCCAUAAGUCUUCAUCCGUUUCUUAAUGUGGUCCUCUGCAAUUUUUUGAUGUGAUUUUAACCAUUUGAUUGCAUGUACAUUGUAUCUAAUAGUUAACCGUGAGCACCUAAUUUUUUUUCAUUUCUUUUCAAAAACCUAAAUCCUUUCUCUGUAAUUGAAACUAAAAUUCACAAAAAAUCACAACCUUAGAUUUACAACAUCACAAAAAAUCACUAAUCAAAAUAACUCAAAAAUGAAAUCUGAUUUCCAACAACAGUCACCACAAGAGAAGAAAAAAGAAUUCAUCCUAAUUUCUUUAUUCUCUUUAAACCCCCCAUUUUUGGUUCUGAAUCAAUCAAGCAAUAACCAUUUCUUCUUCUUCUAACGAAUUUGAUUCAAAAUCCAGAAAUUCGAUGAUCUAGAACCCAUAAAUUCCAUGAUUCAAAAACAAGAAUCUAUCUAUCUAUAUAUACAUGUAUUCUAACCUACAUUUUACCUAUGUGUAACCUCACAAACAUCCCCCUUUCUAACUAUUUCCUUACAUGCAUUCUCUCAUUAUAAGCAAGACUUUGCUUAUGUGUCACCUCACCAAUAAUUCUUAUUUCUUAUAUGAAUUUUAGUAUAUUAUAUGAAUGAAUGCAUUCUCCUAUGAAAGGGUUAUAAUAUUUAGUGUGACAUAAAUAUUUUUAAACAUGUAACUGCCACAAUCCUUCAAAACUAUGCAAUUUCUCAACAAAAAAAAACAUAUAUGCAACUGCUAAAUGCAGCCACGAGUUAUUGGCCAAAUGAAUUGUAAAUGAAUUGUGAUUCACUGAUUUGUGACUCCCAUGAAUUUAUUGUGGCAAUCUAUGUGCAAAUCCCAUUUACCAAAAAUCAUUUGCUAAUUUUUUAAUUAAUAAUUACCAAAACUUGAAUGAUUAUGGUGUAGUAAUGGUCAGUUACACAUCUUACUUAUUACCUUUAUUAUAAGCGGCUGACAAUUAUAUGGGUAACUCCUUUUUACCAAAAUUAUGUACCUUUAUUUCUUAUUGUAACUCCUUAUAGGUUACGGUUUUAAUAUAUCAUGCCACACAAAAGCAAUGGUCACAGUAAACAAGGUUCACAAUUUUUUUAUUUGUAUCACCAAGAAUGCAAUAUAAAUAUAAAUAAAUAAAUAAACAAAUUAGAAUUUAAUAGAAGUAAUGAAUAAUUUCGGCCAAAAUAUGUUCAUCCUUGGUUACAAUUUCAAUUUGUGCCUCUUCGCAUUCCUUCACAUAAAGCCUAAAAAUUUGUUACACUUUAAACCAUUUCAAUGACAGUAUUUCCCACACACCUAUAUAACCAGCAUUGGUGUCAUUCCUUUUCCACUCAUUCUGUCACAUCUAUCUGUGUAAUUUCAUUUCUUCCCACAUACUCUCUUUGCUUCCCUACCAUGUCUGCCAUUGAUGUCAUUGGAACCAAGUAAACCACUUUCUUGCACUUUUCCUCUACCAUGUUAAAUAAAACCUUUAAUCUAAUCUUUUUUCAUGUUCUUUACUUUUACAGGGUCGGAGAAGUCAACAACAAUGGUGUGCAUACCUUUCUCAACAAACUCUCCAAUGCUGCCCCUGAUACCAAGAUCAAAGUUAGGGUAGCACGCAUGUGGGACACGCUGAAUAUAACAAAAAAAAAGGAAAUAAUUAGUACAGAUAUGGUGCUAAUUGAUGAGAAGGUGUUUAUCAAUGAAAUUGCUAUAUUGUUGUUCCUUCGCAAAUAAUCUUUCUUUACUUACUAUUUACAAAUGCUUUCUAGGCAAAUUGCAUUCAUGCUACAAUACCAAGGAGGUUCUCACCUUCAUUGAAGAAAGUCUUGCAAGAAGGCAAGAUAUAUGUAAUUUCACACUUUGAGGUCUCAAAAAACAAGGAGAAAUAUGCUGUGGUUGAAAACAAUCCCUCCAUGCUUAGUUUCUAUGGUGACGCAAUUGUGACUGAGGAGGGCUCGGAUGACAACACAAUCCCUCGCUAUAUCUUUGAAUUUGUUAAUUUCAAUGAUCUUAUCAAACGUUGCGGGAAAGAGGUGUUGGCAGGUUGGUUUAGCAAAAUAUUAAAUUAUAUGUAAUACAAAUCUAUUACAUUGUGUAAAGAAUGUAACACUUUUGUUUCUCGACAGAUGUAAUUGGAUUUAUAAUUGAUGUGGAUCCAAUUGAGGAGAAAACAACCGUCAAUGGGAAAGUCGACAUGUUGUCACUUCAUUUGGGGGAUGGCAGGUGCAACAUAAUUUGUUCCCCAUGAUUUAAUUCUCAUUUAGUAGCGUAUAACACAUUUACCACAAAAAUCAAUUAACAAACUUUUUAAUCCUACGCAACUUUUGGCAGUGGGAAUGUCUUGAAGGUAACGCUAUGGGAUGACUAUGCUCCGAUGUUUAAUCAAAAACUGAUAGAUCAAAUGCAUGCUACUCCUAAGCCAAAUGUGGCAAUUUUUACCUCCACUUUGGUAAAACAAUACCAAGGUAACUGCUCAUACCAUGACAUUUAAUAUUCAACUUAAUUACCCUCUCCUCAACCACUCCAUAUGUGAUAUAUUUUUGUAGGUGAGCUUUAUGUUUCGUCUUCAAGAUCCACAACAAUUUAUAUCAACAUAGACACCCCUGAAGUUGCUGAUCUAAUUUUGUCGUCCAAGUGCGUCAUUUAACUCAUGUUUAAAUACUUAUGUUUAUAUUAUGUUGCCUAUUUUCUAAUUGUGUGUUGUUGCAUCGUUGUAGGGGGAAAAACAGUGUUUUGAAAACAACUGAAACUUUGUCUUUAACUAAUGUUGAUGUGAAGACCAUAUCUGAGCUUUUAUCCAUGGCAGUUUCGGGAGUUUAUCAGGUCAACACUUGGUUAAUUAUUCUCUAGACCUAUUUUUUAUUUCAUUAUCACAGUGUGUCAUACACUCAUACUUUCAACUUUACUUGCAGGGUGAUGUUGUCUACAAUUGUGUUGCAACAGUUGAUGACAUCCUGCUAAAAAAUGGGUUGUAUUAUGUUUCUUGCCCUCAUUGUAGGAAAACUGUGAGUUCCACUGAGACAGACUUCAAUUGUGAGCAUUGUACUAAAAAGGUCGACUAUCCAAAGAUUAGGUGAGUUCAUUUGAAGUAUUUUUUUUCCUUAUCACAUGGCCUUAAAUAUAUAUAUGUUGCUUGAAAUAAUUACAAUGAAUCUCUAUAGGUACCGUUUGGAACUUCAAGUCAACGACUCUACGGAAUCAACAAUAUUUGUGUUGUUUGCCGAAGUUGCUGAACAAUUGGCACAACUAAAGCUAGAUGACCUCACCCCGGAUUUAGAAAAUGUGUGUUACAUUAUAUCCUAAAUCUAAUAUGGUGUUUAUCGGUGUUUUUUUUUUAUUAUUGAAAAAAUAGAAUAAAAGUUGAUUGUUUUCUAAACUUACAUUCCAUUCCUUUUUGUUUGGAUAGCAGACUGGACGUGACUCUGAUCUGCCUAAACAGCUCCAGCAUAUCAUUGGUUCAAAGCAUAUUUUUCAAGUUAAGCUGAGCUCUUACUUUGAACGUCGUGGAGUACAAAGCUUCACUGCACAUAAGAUUCUGAAGCCAGUUGUUAAGGUGUUUAGUUAUAUCAUGUUUCCAUUCUUUUAUUCUUCACUGCUGGAAACCAUUAUAUACUAAAUUUUUGAUGUAAUUUAACAAAUAUCAGAUUGAGAAAGAAGACAACAUUGCCACUGCGUGUUCUUCCUCAAGUGGAUCUCUUACCAUUGAAAUACCAGAUUUGCCGAAGAAGAGGAGAAAAUUAAUGUAAGAUGUAUCAUUGUCUAAUGCAUUUAACCAUGUAUAUAUGUAAGCUAUAAAUGUGAGCUAAAAAAAACUUGCGGAUUUUUUCAGAUUGCACUCCAACAAAUCAGGUGAUAAGGACCAGAAUGAAGAUGUGGAAGAUUUAGAAGAUUGAGAAGUUGGCUGCUAAGGAUUUAAGAGGAUUUGCUUUUGAAGUUGUUUUUCAUGGUUUAGUUUAUGUUUCUCUAAUCAAUAGAGAUGUGGAUUUCAGUUUAUGUUUUUUUGAGGUUGUGUUUUUUUUUUUUUUGAGGACUUUGUCUUUUUUGUUUUUAACCUAGACUACAUUGUUGGUUUAUGUUUUUUGGAUGUUGUGUUUUUUUAAGAAUAUUUUCUUUGGAUCAAUGUUACUUUGACCUAAAUUAUAUUGUUGGUUUAUAAUGUUAUAUUGAGGGAUUUUGUUGUUUUUAAUGCUGACCUAUAUUUUGAAGACAAAGAUUAUGCAUCUAUAUGUUAAGGUGAAUGGUAAUCAUGUUUUCAUUCAUUUAUUGUUCACUUAAAAUAAUGAAAUACAUAAUUCUUAUGUGAUUUUACAAAUUUCAGAUUGAGAAAGAAUACAACAUUGACACUAUAUGUUCUUCCUCAAGUGGAUCUCUUGGCAUUAAAACGCCAGAUUUGCAGAAAUUAAUGUAAGAUGUAUCAUUGUCUAAUCAUUUAAGCGUGUAAAUAUGUAUGCUGAAACAACACUUGGAGAAUGAUAAAAAUUGCACUCUGGCAGCGAAUCAGGUGAUGAUGACAAGAUGGAAUAUUUAGAAGAUUGAUAGCUUGGCUGCUAGGGACAGAGGCAGAUGGAAUAUUUAGAAGAUUGAUAGCUUAGCUGCUAGGGAAGGAAGAAUGUUUGCUUUUGAAGUGCUUUGCAUUGUUUGGUUAAGGUUCCUCUAAUAAAGUUGUGGAUUCCAACUAUGUUGUAUUUUGAAAACUCAUGUUCCCAUGUCGAGGAUGUUAAAAAUAUUAUUUCCUUUUGAAGUGCUUAGCAUUGUUUAGAAAACUAAUUGUAUUUAGUAUUUUAAGCUUUGCAUUGUUUGAAGUGCUUUUCAAACUAAUUGCAUUUUUAAUAUUAAUUUAUAACAAGAGGAACAUGAGAACUGUUUUUUAUGAUAUAGUCUUUUCAAUUAUUUUUCUUUGGCCUAAAUUACAUUAUUGGUUAAUGUUUAUUUACAAGUUUGUUGGUUUAUCUGUUUUUCAUCAUAAAUUUACUGAAUCUAAUGCCAUAAUAAUUACACAAGUUGUAUUGAGACAUAUCAAAUUAACAAUGACACAAAUAUAGAUAGAUAGGUUCUUCCUCAAAAAAAAAAAAAAAAAAAAAAGGAUAAAUAAGUUUUUUACAUGGGCCAACCAAAAUAAAAUAAAAUACUAACUUAAAUAUUAACAAAAAGUGCUAAUCUUUAUUAAGAUCCUAUUAUAUUCUUUAUACGUAACUAUAAAUUACUACCACGUUAAUACCCAAAAAAAAAAAUAUUAUUACCUUUUGCCAAAUAACUAAUAAAAUACAAAUACUCCAUCAAUGUUAUUUGAGCUCAAUUCCAGUUGUGAGUUCUUACAUUAACAUGUGAUAGACAAAGGGUGUGUUAGUUAUUAUCCUUAUAUUAUUAUAUACUAUACUAUUUUUUUAGACCAUUUAAUUAUGGUUGAUGUACCACAUAUUGAAAGAUUUAUAAUUAAAAUUUACAUUUCAAAAAAUCAAAGAAUAUAAAACAUAGUGAAAUGUAAUUAUACUUUCCUCAACUUAGGCAUAAUAUUGAUAUAUAAAUAAGUAACUAAUAUUUACAAGUUUUUUUCCAAUGACGUUAUAUUUAUAUCUAAAAGCAUGAAAUAAUAUAAACAUGUUCAAUUUUAUAAUAAUAAUGAUAAUAAAAUAUUAUUGUUCUUUUUGUUGAAAUCAAAUUAGUUCUACAUUAGCACACAAAAAAGGAACAUAGACAUACUAAUGAAAGAUAAAAAAGAAAAAUUGUCCUUUGAGUAGAAGUAGCACACCUAUUUCAGCACAAAAAAAUAAAAAUAUACAGCUACCUAGACAUACUAAUGAUCAUCGUAUUAAUUACUUAUUAUUAUUAUUAUUAUUGUUAUUAUUAUUAUUGUUGUUGUUGAUGUAUCCAUUAAUUUUUGUAACAUAUCAUAUUAUUAGAUAUCAAUUUUUCAUCUGCAUAACAUAAAAAAUCAUAAAUGUUGCAUAAAUAAUAAAUGCGUACAUGUAUUCUAAGCUACAUUUUCCUUACAUGUCACCUCACCAAAGCUCUCCCUUUGUAACCAAUCUCUCAUACUUAUGCCAUGUGGCUCUCUAUUUCAUUUUUUAGCUUUUUUCUUUCAUUAUUAUUAUUUUUUGGUAGAAUCAUUCAUCUAUUUACUACACAUUUAUUUGUAUAUAAUAUUGAUGUUGAUACAUAUUCAGAUAGUUCUUCUAUUAUGUAACUUCUAUUAUGUAACUGUCAAUUGUUCCACCGUCCAUCUUCUUUUAUUUUAUUCAGGUUUUUAAUUUAUUAGCUAAAACAAUAGGAUCAGAUGAACACAUAGUCGUAUUUCAACAUUCAGAGGUGCUAUUUCUAAAAAAGUUAUUUCAUUGAGCAGAGGUGCUAGGAUUAGAUCAUCGUUUUAUUUUUAUUGUUUUUUUUUUUUUCCCCGUCCAUCUUUUUUUUCUUCUAUUUUCUACAUGAUCUAUAUAUUUAUUGACUUCUUUAUCAUAUAAAUUGAUGUGGCUUUGUAACAUCAAAUUCUCAUACAAUAUCAGCAACUAAAACAUUCAUGUCACAGUUCCUUCUUUCGCUGCUUAUAUUGUUGGUUCCUACUCAUGCAAACAAUCAUGUCAAGAUUAUAUAAUAUUGUAGUUUAGCUUCAUGAUUACUUACAUGUUCAGCCAUGGUUGCCGCCUCUUACAUUCUCACAUCCAAUCAGAAUACUUUGCUUCUCUGUUCUCACAUCUAAACUGAACCGCUGACACCUGUGUUCUCUUUCUUCAACCUUCAUUCCUUUCUCGCGUCUCACCACCCCUGCGUUCAAUACGACAACCUCCGUUAUUUCUAUUUUCGUUGUAAAUAUAUGUUUUGUUUUUAUUCUUUAAUCAGUAAAGAAACAUGAAUCAAAGUUCAGGUAUAGUAUUUCAGACUUCUUUUGGAUUCUCAUAUAUCAAAUGAUCAACAUUUUUUACACACAUUAACAUCUAAACCAUCUCAUGUAUCUAUGCUAUGGUCUACAUAUGAAGUAAUUAAACUUACAAUUUUACAAAUAUUAAUUUCAUAAUAGUCAUGUCAUACAUAAUGCUUCUAUUCUUAUUUUUUUAUUGUUUAAUGUAUACCAUAAACCAGUAAAUGCUACAGAACAUGUUGAGGUAGCGACAUCGGAGAAACACAACAAAAGAAAGACAAAUACAAUGAAUAUCAACGACACAUCAGAGAGGCAUAACAAAAGAAAAAGAUAUGCGAUAAAUAUCAGUGACCCACUAGAACUCCAACAAAAAAAUGGUUAGUCGAAGCUAUUUGGUGGACUCAUUUUAUAUUUGUUACAUUAUCUAUGUUAUUAAAUUGUUAAUUUUUAUAUUUUUGCUUUUAAUCUGUUCCAUUUUAUAAUUCCCAAUAAUAAAAACAGAAUAUCAACACAAACAAAAACUUGCUGGGUUUCGACAAGCCAGGUUGAAUAGGAAGCAAAUGCUCAGUUUGAGGCGGAAUAAAGGAAACAUUGCUGCAUUUUUCGGUGAAAUAUAAAAUUUAGGACAUACACAUGGAUUAUUAUAGCUCAUGCUUUAUAAAAACUCACUAACGUUAUGGCCUAACGGCCAACUUAUUUUCAUUACUUAUGUUGUAUGCACUUACUCUUUGUCAGGAGACACUUACCAACAGUGUAACGUAGGCACAUCAACAACCCAAGACAUUAAUAGCAAUACUGAAAACGUUUGUGCCACGUUUGAGCUCCGACACACAAGUGGUUGGUUUUAUGCAUUUCAUUUAUCAAUUUAACAUUUAAACAACUUAAAAUAUUUUACUUUCAAUCUUCUUAUUUUUAAUUGGUUCCAUUUUAUUGUUCUUAAUGUUGUAAACAGAAGAACAAAAUAUACAACGGCUUGCAGGGUUUAAACAAGCCAGAUUAAAAAGGAGACAAAUCCUUGAUUCAAGGCGCCGUUGCCCCACUUUUGCAGCAUCCAUAGGUGAGAACAAAAUAAGAACUAAAUAAUUCAUGAGUCAUACAUACUAACUUUGUAACUGUUCUAACAUUUUCCAAUUCUCGGUACAUUCGAGGUGUCACAUCAACACCACAAAAUAUACAACGCCCUUGCGGGGUUUAAAUAAGCCAGAUUAAAAAGGAGGCAAAUCCUUGAUUUAAGGCGACAUAGACCCACCUUUGCAACAUCCAUAGGUAAAACCAAAAAUAAAACUAAAUAAUUCAGAGUCAUACAUAUUAACUUUGUAACUGUUUUAACAUUUUCAAAAUGUUGGUACAUUGGAGGUGUCACAUCAACAGCACAAGACAGUAAUAGGAAAAAUGAAAACGUUUGUAGCACUUUUGAACUACGACACACAAGUGGUGGGUCUUAUGCAUUUCAUUUAUCAAUUUAACAUUUAAACAACUUCAAAUAUUUCAUUUUAAACUUCUUAUUUUUAAUUGGUUUCAUUCUAUUAUUCUUAAUCUUAUAAGCAGAAGAACAAAAUAUACAACGAUGUGCGAGAUUUAAACUAGCCAGAUUCAAAAGGAGGCAAAUCCUUGAUUCAAGGCGACCUAGCCCCACAUUGGCAGCAACCAUAGGUGAAGAAAAAUAAAUAAAACUACAUAGUUUUUAAUUGUUCUAACAUUUUUCAAUUCUCGAUACAUUCAAUGUGUAUUUGGUGGAAUAUUUAUGAUAAAUUAUAUUUUUAAAUUAAUUUUCAUAUAUAGUUCAUGAUAGUUUAAAUUAUAUUUAAAUUAAAUCUUAGAAAAUUAAUUUAAAAUUUAUCAAAGACUUUAAUUUAAAUAAAUAAAAAUCUAACAUUUACUACUUCUAUUACAUCUGCUUACUCUUCGACAGGAAAUAAGACAUCCAAACCCAUAACAACACAUAAAAGGACAAAUACCAAAAGUAUUCACAGUACACAUCGAAUCCAACACAAAAGUGGUUAGUGUUAUCUCUUUGCAUGACCAAUUUAAUAGUAGCUUAUAAUAUUUAAAUACAAUAUUUAAAUGCACAAUGAAACCAUCAUAGCUGCAUUUAUUACCUUUUCUGACUCCCGGUGCUUAAGACUCUAAAAAACGACUAACGUGAACUGAUAAUAUUCGAUAUAUAUACUCUCAACAGGAAACAACAACCAACAAACUGGGUCAGUCGCAUCUAGAACACACGACAGAAGGAUGAAUCCAACAAAUGGUUAGUGUGGCUUAUUUCUUUAAACAACUUAGCAUUGCAAAAACCAAUAAUCUUUCACUUUAAAAUCUCAUUUGCAGACCAUGUCCAAACUUAUAUGGAUCUCGGCCAUCCAAAUUUUGAAUGCGAAAAAUGUGGAAGCACAAUGUGGUAUAAUGAGAGAGCUGAUAAACCACGUCGACCAAGGAACCCAACAUUCUCUCUUUGUUGCCUGAAAGGGGAUGUCUCCCUAGAGUUUUUAGAGCAACCACCAGACUACUUGAAGGAACUUUUAGCUUACAAAGGUGGCAGACACUCCGUUAAAUUUAGAGAAAAAAUACGGGCAUAUAAUUCUAUUUUUGCAUUCACAUCCAUGGGUGCUAAAAUAGACAACACAGUGAACUUACGUCCAGGCCCAUAUGUGUACAAAAUUAGUGGUCAAAACUAUCAUAGAAUUGGUGGACUCAUACCUGGCCAAGGAAAACAACCUAAAUUCUCCCAGCUUUAUGUCCAUGAUACGGAGAAUGAGAUCCAAAAUCGAUUGAGUUCGCUGAAUGGUGGGAAGACUGCACGAGACCUUGAUGCAGAUAUUGUCCGGCGCCUAAAGGAUAUGCUCGACAUGAAUAAUUCUGUAGCCAAAUUAUUUAGAAUGGCAAGGGAUAGAUUAUCUGCACCGGACAACAAAGAAGUUCGCAUAAGGUUGAUUGGCACAAGAUCAAAUGAUUCAAGACAAUAUACAACACCUACCGCAACAGAAAUUGCUGGUCUCAUUGUUGGAGAUUUUGGUGAAUCAAAUGGACGAAGAGAUAUAGUUAUUGAGCAUAAAACAGAUGGCCUGCAGAGAAUAAAAGAAUAUCAUCCAAAAUUCAUGGCAAUGCAAUAUCCUCUGUUAUUUCCAUAUGCUGAGGAUGGAUUUCACCUAGACAUUUAUUAUUCUCAAAAUCAUGCAAAAAGAAAGAAAAAGAAAAAAAGAAAAAAAGUUACCCUGAGAGAAUAUUAUGCUUACCGGAUACAACAGAGGCCCUGUGAAGCAAAUACUCUUAUUAUUGGUGGUCGACUGUUCCAACAAUACGUUGUUGAUGCAUUCACGGCAAUAGAAGAAGAGCGACUGCGCUGGGUUAGACAGAAUCAAACAGUGUUGCGUACGGAUCUGUACAGAAAUGUAUGUGAUGCAGUUGUGCGUGGAGAUACAAUAGCUGCUGCUACUGGGAAGAGAAUCGUUUUGCCAUCUUCUUUUACAGGUGGCCCUCGAUAUAUGGUUCAAAACUAUCAAGAUGCCAUGGCCAUAUGCAGGACAUUUGGAAAUCCUGAUAUCUUCAUGACAUUUACUGCUAAUCCAAAGUGGCCAGAGAUUCAAUACAUGCUUCAGAAAAUACCAGGUCAAUCUGUCGAUGAUAGACCGGACAUCAAGACAAGAGUUUUUAAAAUGAAACUUGACCAGCUAAUGAAACACAUAGUGGAGGGGCAAUAUUUUGGUAAAAUUAUAUCAGGUAAAAGUACAUGGAAUAAAUGUUCUCACAUUCUAAAAAAAAAAAAAAUUAAAGAUCAAUUUGAUUCAAAUUGUUUAUUCAAUCUAUAUGAUACAUACAUGUUAUACUAAUAAAGAUUUGUUUUUUUUCUCUCUUUUCAAAUUGACAGCCAUUUAUACCAUAGAGUUUCAAAAAAGAGGUCUGCCACAUGCACACAUACUAUUAUGGUUGCACCCAAGCAAUAAGUAUCCCACCCCGGAGGAUAUAGAUAAGAUUAUUACUGCAGAAAUGCCAUCUAAGGAAGAUGAUCCAGAAUGUUUUAAUGCGGUAAAACAGUUCAUGCUGCAUGGACCGUGUGGAGAUGCAAAUAUAAAUGCACCUUGCAUGAUUGAUGGUAUUUGUAGUCGAAAAUUUCCCAAAAGUUUUUUCGAUGAAACAACAAUAGAUAGAGAUGGGUUCCCGACGUAUAGAAGGAGGGACGAUGGAAGACAUGUGAAAAAAGGAGAUAUCAAUUUAGACAAUCGGUAUGUGGUUCCAUACAAUCGAGGUUUGUUGCUGGCAUUUCAAGCACAUCUAAAUGUUGAAUGGUGCAACAAGUCAAGGGCCAUAAAGUACCUAUUUAAAUAUCUUCACAAGGGCCCAGAUAGAGCAAUAAUGGUAAUAGAAGAUAAUGUUUUGGGCAACAGAAGCACAAAUGCAACUCAUAUAACAAUGGUUGAUGAGGUCAAAACAUUCUUGGAUUGUAGGUACGUCAAGGUAGUUAUAGGGAAUACUCUAAUAAUGAUCACAAUGAAUUUAUAACCAUUUCAUCUUUUAUGCAUUAUUCAUUGUAGGUAUGUAUCGGCAUGUGAAGCAUGUUGGAGGAUAUUCAAUUUUGACAUACACUACAGAAAUCCGGCUGUUAUGAGAUUGAGCUUUCAUUUGCCAGAAGAACACUCAAUCACUCUAAGAGAUUCAGAGCAAUUGUCAGACGUAAUUUCAAAGGAAGGAGUUGAACAUACUAUGUUUACAGAAUGGAUGCUAAUGAAUUCAAUGAGCUCGGAAGCACGUACAUUAACGUAUUCUGAGUUUCCCAAAAAAUUUGUUUGGGACGAGACAAAAAAAAAGUGGAAAAAACGGAAAGCUGGAAGAACAAUCGGAAGAAUUUAUUAUGCACAUCCAACUAGCGGGGAGAAAUAUUACCUCAGAAUUUUACUGAAUAUUGUUCAUGGUCCAACAAGCUAUGAAGAAAUAAAGACAGUGGGAGGGGUGACUUAUCAGACAUUCAAAGAAACAUGUAAUGCUCUUGGGCUAUUGAAUGAUAACAGAGAGUGGAAUGAUGCAUUGAAUGAAGCAUCACAGUGGGCCACAGGCACUCAAUUAAGAGAGUUAUUUGUUACCAUUUUGCUUUAUGGAGAAGUGGCAGAUAUAGGGAAACUAUGGGAAACUAAUUGGAAAACGUUGUCUGACGAUAUUGUCUACAAAAAGAGAAUAUUGUUUCAACACUCCAGAUUGGAGCUUAAUGAUGAACAGAUUCAAUCAUACUGCUUGAUUGAAAUUGACAAGAUUUUGGUUCGUGCUGGAAGUUACCUUUCUGAUUUUGAUGGAAUGCCGUUGCCAAAUAGUGAAUCCUUUGAAGCCACGGAAAACCGACUUAUUGUGGAAGAGCUUAGUUAUAAUGUUGAUGACCUGAAAAAAGAACACGAAAGAUGUCAUCCAUUGUUGAACGAACAGCAGAUUGAUAUAUAUAAUAAUGUUAUAAAUGCUGUCAACACUAAUAUUGGUGGACUCUACUUCGUGUAUGGCCAUGGAGGGACUGGCAAGACUUUUCUAUACAGAACAAUUAUUGCAAAACUCAGGUCAGAAAAAAAGAUAGUACUUGCUGUUGCUUCUUCAGGUAACCCAUCACUUUUUCAAUCCCUUAUAUAAAUUUACAUGUUGUCUAUUUGUACUUAUAAAUAUGUCAGUCCAUACACCCUUAUUUCUGCGCUUCAUUGCAAUAUUUAUUGUACAAAUUACUAUAUGUACCAAAUUAGCAACUAUUAUAUGCUAUAAUCUAUCUAAUAUUAUAUGCUUUUCUUCUACACAAAAUAUAAAAAAAAACAUACAAUUUUUAUUCAAAUAUAUAAAUAUAUAUAUAUAUAUAUAGAUAGAUAGACAUAGACACACACAUAUGCUUGCAUGCAUAAAUAUAUUUUCAAUUUUUUUUUUAAUUUCAUUCUUGACAGGUAUUGCAUCCCUCUUGCUUCCUGGAGGAAGGACCGCUCAUAGUAGAUUUAAAAUUCCUCUUGAGAUCUAUGAAGACAGCACAUGCUCAAUAAACCAAAAUACUCAUCUAGCUGAUCUAAUGGUUCAAACAGAUCUCAUAAUCUGGGAUGAAGCACCAAUGACUCAAAGAUAUGCUUUUGAAGCUCUUGAUAGGACACUUAAAGACAUAAUUGGUUUCAAAUUUCCGGAUAGGGCAGAGCAACCAUUUGGAGGAAUGACAGUUCUUCUUGGAGGAGAUUUUAGGCAAAUACUUCCUGUAAUACCAAAAGGUCGAAUACAUGAUAUAAUUCAAUCAUGCAUCAACAAGUCUUUUUUGUGGGACUACUGUACAAUAUUUUCAUUGUCCAAAAGCAUGAGGGUCAGAAAUACUACCUCUACAGGCAAAGAACAUGAUGUGAUACGUGAAUUCAAUAAAUGGCUACUUCAACUUGGUGAUGGAAACAUUCAAGCACAAAGCCGACGUGGUGAAGAUUUUGCAUCGUGGACGACGAUACCAGAUCAAUAUCUUAUCCCACCAAUGGGUGAUCCACUCAAACAAAUUGUGGAUAACACUUACCCAGAAUUAAAGAGCCAUCUGUGGGAUGAAGAAUAUUUCAGGGAAAGAGCAAUACUCACUCCUCUAAAUGAAACAGUUGAUGAAAUCAAUAAUUAUAUUGUUCAGUUUACUGAUGGAGAAACAAAACAAUACAGAAGCUCAGACGAGAUUGACAAGACAACUGACAACAUAUCAGAUCAAGAGCUCAUGUAUCCUGUGGAAUUUCUAAACUCCUUAAAUAUUAAUGGAUUUCCAAGACAUUGUUUGGAGCUUAAAGAAGGAAUGCCUAUUAUGUUAUUGAGGAAUAUCAAUCCGGCAUUAGGAAUGUGUAAUGGAACAAGACUUAUUAUUACGCAUCUAGGAGAGCGAGUAAUAGAGGCUAAAAUAAUUACAGGAUCUAACGUUGGUUCAAAGGUGCUAAUCCCCAGAAUUGUUCUUACUUCUAACGACUCUAAAUGGCCUUUUCUGUUGCGCAGGAGGCAGUUUCCAAUUAAGGUGUGCUAUGCAAUGACAAUAAACAAAAGUCAAGGCCAGUCAUUAAAUUAUGUGGGAUUAUAUUUGCCAAGACCUGUAUUUAGUCAUGGACAACUAUAUGUUGCCUUUUCAAGAGUCACUUCCCCAGAGGGACUGAAAAUUCUAAUUGUUGAGCGUGAUGAGAAUUAUGUACAAUACACGAAAAAUGUAGUGUACCAUGAGGUAUUUAGUGGUCUUCCUCAAUGUAAAUAUAUUUGAUGCACUGUUUUCAAAUCUAUCUAUCAUUCACAAUAACUUUAGCAACUACGUUAUUCAUUGUUAACUAACACACUUCGAUUUGUACCAUUGAUUUUUUACAAUAAUAACCGCGAAUCCCAAGUAAUCGGACUUUUUAUAACAGAAUUUAAACUUCAGAACCUUAAUAAAGUAAAAUCCUACAAACACAACAAUAACCAUUUGAAUCGUUUCAAUGGUGAAAAAACUUAUUAAUGGUUACAACCGUAAGUUUCUAUCUACACAUCAACUAAUAGCAUAAAUGGUUCCAAAUGAGCAGCCAAUGUUAAACCAAUAACUAAAAUUAUCAUAUCAAUUGAUCAAUGUACCUUAUACGAAGCAGCCCACUACUAAUUGGCAAACACUAUCGAUCCUUUAACUCACAUACCUAAAAAAAAAACAUUUUAUCAACAAUUACAAAACUGAACUGAGUUCAACAAAUUGAAACUAAAUCCAAAACAAAAUUUAAUAUAAGUAACAUGUGUACAACAAUAGUAGGAGGAUGAUUGUCGCCGAACUCGGUAACGAAUUCAACAGACAGCUCAACGGAAACUAACCCAGAGAUGAAGAACAAAAUAUUCAAAUGUUUACAUUUUAAUAGUUUCUACAUUUUAAUAUAACCAUUUUAAUAGUUUCAUUGGUGGAAAAACUUAUUAAUGGUCAAAACCACAAAAAAAAAAAAAAAAUAUCAAAUUUACGCAUAAAUGGUUCCAAAUGAACAACCAGUGUUGAAUCAAUGACUAAAAUUAUCAUAUCAUUUUAUCAAUGUACCGUCUAUGAUGUGUUCCACUGCUAAUUGCCAAACAACUUCCAUAGUUGAACUCACAUACCUAAAACAAAUAACACAAUUCAUCAACACUGACAAAAAUGAACAGAGUUCAACAAAUUAAGAAUACAUCGAGAACAAAAUUGAAAAUAACUAAAAAAAUGUGUAAAACAAUAUCCCGAUCUCACUACCGGAUUCAAGUUGGGCCUCAACCGAAAAAACCCACAAACAAGAACAAAAGAUAAAGAAGAAGACAACUGACAUCACCUUCUUCUCGGUGCUCAACGGUUCUGCGAUUGAACCGUCGUUCGUUCACUCGACAUCAACGAAGAACCAUCUCGGAUAAUAACACUGCUGGCAUCAGAAAUAGGCACAAAGUGUUAUCUGAGGAUUAUCUGCAGAAAGUUGCUUCUAUUGGUGUCAGAAAGAAGCGUUCGUCUCAUCAACAUCAUUCUUUUGGAACGAGUAGUGAUAAAAAGGAACGAUCCAACGAUGUCUUGAAAGUGGUCAAAAUAAUACGUAGAGAUAAGAACCAUAACCUGUCAAAGGAAAAUUUGCUGCAUCAACAGAAAACGAAUAAUAGGUUGCGAAUUGUUGUCCAUGGAGGAGAUGGAUUGUUUGAAACAUAUAGGCUUUCGAAAUCUCAAUUUGAUGGGGAGGAUGUAACUUUCAACUCAAGAAUUUCUGUAACGAUUAUCAAGAAUAUAGGCUUAAGAAGAAUUGCUUUUUUUGAAACAUAUAGGCUUUCGAAGAAUUGCUUUGCCUUUCCAAAUUAUCGAGGAUUGCCGUGUUCAUCUUGGUUGAAAGGAGUUUAAAAAAUUCACGUUUUUAGGGAUUCAGUUGUGUUCUCUUUUCUUUCAAAAUCACUUUUAUGUUUAAAUAUAAAAAAAUUCCUUUUUAUUUUAUAUUGUUCGUAACUUUUCCUUCUUUUUUUUAAACAAAAAAAUUAAAAAUCUUACUCUUUAAUUUUGAUUAGAUAUGUUAUUAAUAACUUUUUAUUUUUUAUUCAAUCAACUACUACUUCAGUAUGAAAUUAUAACACUUUUUGAUAAAAACAAAAAAAAAAAAAAAAAACCCUUUUCAUAUUUUCGACUAACAAAAAUGCAUCCAAGUUUUUACCCUUUUUUUUUUGUGAUAGUCCAAGUUUUUACCUUAAAAAUAUGGACCUACAAACCAUUAAUUUUAUUUUUUUGAUCAGUAAACAUCUGAUUUUUUGGAACUGAAGAACUUUAAUUGCGGUCAAAUAUAAUCUUUAAUGAUGGAAUCAAUUUUUUUAUUAAAGAACUCAAUUUUUAAUAUACUUGAUAUCAUUGUAUCAUUUACUUUAAAUAUUUGCUAAAAUAAUGUUAUUUUAAAAAUAUAAAAUGUCCAACAUUUUUUUUAUAUAACUAAAUAAUGAUCUGAUGCAUCAACUAAAACAAUUUAAUCAAACCCGUGCAACGCACGGGUUGUAUCCCUAGUUAAUUAAAUGAAUUCAAAACCCAGAAAAGGAAAGAAAAAGGGAAAGAAGAAGAAAAGGAAAGAAAAAGAAAUGAAAACUGUUAAGUUAAUGAAGAAAAUUAACGAAAAGGAAAGAAGAAGAAAAAUGGGAAAGAACGAGAAUGAGGGGAAGAGGAAAAAAAGAAAGAAAAAGAAAAGGAAGAAAUGAGGAGAAAGAAGAAAUUUUUUUGGGUUGGUAUGAAAAAUGGAGGAAAAAUUAUGUUGAAGAUGAUUAAGAGGAGGAUGAAGAAUGGAGGAAAAAUUAGUUAAUAAAUGGUACACUAUAAGAUAGAAUAGACAUGCACAAUCCAACGAUCCUCUUUUUAACUAAAAUAUCAAAUGGUUAAAAUUAAAAAACUUAGUAAGGUCUAUGGUGGACCACCUAUAAUGUUGGUUCACCUUAGACAUUUAGUGUUAAAAACAGACGGAAGUGUCCAAAAUGGUAAACGACAGAAGAGUUAUGGGACCAAAUUGAGACACUUUAUAGUUAAAGGAUCAAAAUAAAAAUAAAAAAUAAGUUAAGGGACCAAAUCAUGUAUUAAACCAAAAAAAAAAUGUAGGCUGUGUCGAGUGAAUGGAAAAAGAGCAGCUGCAAAGAGAGUGAUUGGUUGUAAAGGGGGAGAGAAAAAGCAUAAUCCAGUGGUUUGUCACUAAAGAUAUCAUGUACCCUUUUUUUAUCUAACGGUCAAUUUAAACGGUACACCGGUGAGGGACUUAAUAGAGCCCUCACCCUAGAAUCAAUUAUAAAUAAUAACUUAGUUUUGAUUCUUUUUACUUUCUUUUCUAUUAAUUCAUUCAUCCACUAAAACACAGAGACAUUGUCUCAGAUUUGCAAGAAUCUUGAAUGGAUUGUGUGUACGUUGGCAGGGAUAGUAGCAUUUAUCACAUGAAAUUGUCUUUACAGUUUGUUUGGAUUUACGAGUGAAGAAGUUUUCUCUUUAAUUCCAACCGGAAGUGGUGACCGGAAACUCAUCCAAGGUGGCGUGCGGUGGCUCGCCGGUGUAGGAAGAAAGGCAUACAGGCUAAAGUUUUAACUCAAAUUGAAGGUUGAAAAACAUACUUCUGGAAGAAAAAACAUACUCCGUCCCAAACAUGUUUAAGUUUUAAUUGUUCUGAAGAAAAAAAAAACGAUAUUGGGAUGGCAGGUUUGAUGUUGGUGGUGGUGGGUUAGUGAGGCAUGAAGAAGAAAUAAUAGUGUUGAAGAUGGUGUAGAAGAAUAAUAUGGUGCUGAGAGACUAUGAUAAAUGUGUAUACUUUAUUUGAUCAAAUAACUUUUCCAUGGUGGAAAAGUUUUACCCUUUCCCAUGUUAAAUGCCACACGAGGACAAGUGUACAAUGGCAAUCUAUUUUACUACACUCUUUUUUUCUGCACAAGGACAAAUUGUGACGUUUGAUGUUCAGCUUCAUAUAAAUAUGAAAGGAGUUUGUCGAACAUUUAUCAUGCCUAAAUAUCCAAAUAUGCACCUACGAUUGACAUAAACCAAACCCAAGACUACCAACCAAGAUUAACCUAAACAAAACGACGUGGUUUCUUAACUCUACCAGUAGUGGGUGCAGACUUACGUGCAGCCUAAAGGAACCGAAAAAACCAAAAAAAUUAACCAAAUAUAUUCAAUCACCAUAAUGCAAAUAACAUUCAAUGAUUAUGAAUAUGAUGGAUUCAAAAACUCACCUUGGUUGCAAGUUGCUUCCUAGGUGCCUUUCCACCAGUAGCUAAGCGAACAUGAGCGAGAGUUAGUGCUCCACAAAUUGUUUAAAUUAUGCUUUUGGAUUUGUUUAAAAUUAUCCUCUAGUUGGAUUUUUUUUUUUGGCUAUGUAAUAUUUAAGAACAUGGAAUGCCAAAGGAAUUUGAUUAUAGUUCAAUUGGUGACGAUCAAAAGUUGUGAAAGUUCAUAUUCUUCGGUCAUUGAUAAACAAUUUGUUGGACAAUAUUCAAUACAGUUACCACAAAAAAUACAAAUUUCGAAAUCAAUACUGUAAUUUAGCAACUGUUUCUUUCGAAUAUCAAUUUAGCAAUUGUUUCUUUUGAACACAUACUUCACAAGCAAUGCAUUUAUCAAAUUCAAAAUGGAUUCAACCGCGGAAACGUUCCGAUGUGAUUAAUUUUUCAUAAGGAUAUUGAAAAGUUACAGGUAAACGAUUUGCGUGAGAUAAGAUAAUCAUGAAACUUUGAUCAAUGUACCUUGCAGCUCAGACUGUUUGUUGACCAUAAUUCAUGAUUUAUGACUUGUUAAUUGUAACACCCCGUUACCCAAAGCAAUAAAAUAGCAUAUAAACAUCAGAGUAAUUCCACAAACGGGCAUGCUACAUUGCAAAUUCAAAAUUCUUAAAUAGAAAAUAAAACUAUUUAGUUCAACAUCAUUCAUAACUUCAAUAAUUAUGCAGCGGAAAGUUUUGCAUUUCAAUAACAACCACAACAAUUUAAAUCUCCAACAAUAUCCUGACAUUAAGCCUAAACAACAAAAGUCAAACAACAAAGGGCCCCAUCGUUAAGUUCCAAAAAUUGAUACAUAGGAGGAAAACAACAAUAAAAUAAUAUAAAUGCUCCCAUCCCACGUAUCAAAGCCCUAGACACGACAAUGAGCCACCACCAACUACUCAGGAUCACCUGCAAGUUACCCAUAGGAAGGGCAACGUUUUCAAGCAGAAGGGGUGAGAUUCACAACAAUAAAUAUAGAUUUUAAAAAUCAUCAAAUGAAUCUAACACCCUAAUCAACAACACAUUAUCUUGUAAACAUAUAUUUGUAUAAGUCACAAGCAACAACAACAUCAACAAUACACCAUAAUUACGGUGAAUAUAAAUAUAUAUAACACAUAUUCAACACCAACAUCAUCUAUCAAAUAACAACUGAAACCAACAACCAAAACUCAUGCAAAUGACAUGACCACUGCUAAAACACCAUCUUAGACUUCUUAAUGAAAUGCAAUUAUGCAUGUGGUACCAAUCAGGACCGGAGCCCUCACCGCUUUUGAAUGGUUAAAGCAUUCAUCAGGACCGAAGCCCUCACCGCUGUUGAGCAACUAGUACUCCAGGACCGAAGCCCUCACCGCUGUUUUAUGCAUAUGCAAUGGACCUACUUGUGUAUAUCUACAUACAACUGACCAUGCAAUGCAACUCCAUGUGACUCCAAUUAAUACAACAUGUAUGAUUAAUAAUUAAAACAUACAAUGCAUUCCUCAUCAUCAAUCAACAUCCAACAGAGAUUCAACCAUUCAGAAUGAUGUAUAAUUAAAUAAAAUUAUGCUUAAACAACAACACUUAAACCUUAUCAAUCAAGCAAGCAAAACUGCACUCAAAACUGCACUAGCUCGCCUCGCGAGCACAUCUGCUCGCCAUGGCGAGUUCACAAAACACUAGCUCGCCAUGGCGAGUUCAAGGCGAACUCGAGGCGAGUGAAAAUCAGGUACUCUCGGGAAAAAGUGACAUUUCCUCACUCAAACUCCAAUUCUAAGCUCCCUAUUCAUCUUUCUAACCUAAAACUUCCACCAUUCAUCAUUAAAAUCAUCUAGGUACCUUAAACCAUCCCCAAAACAUCUUAUAACAACUUUUCAAAAAUCAGGUUUUAAUCUGGGCUACUCGCCAUGGCGAGUUGGAUUGCUCGCGAGGCGAGCUAUGAAGUUGCUCACUCGCCAUGGCGAGCACAGCUACUCGCGAGGCGAGCGAUGAACUUCUGUACGGGCAGAAAACUGGUUUUACCCAAAAAUCCCAUUUUUCUUCCAAUCACUCCCCAAAUCAGUUUACAGAUGCAAAUUAACUUUCUGUAUGCACUUAGAACCUAUUUCUAACAUCAAAUUCAUGCUUACAACUUCAAAACUACAAUUUCAUCAUAAAACCCAAAAUCCCCAAUUUCUACCAAAACCUGUUAAACUCAAAAUCAGACUUUAAAUUCUACACCAUUGAAGUAAACCCCACCCUUACCUUAAUUCAGAAUGAAAAAUGCACCGCAAAAAGGGUUCCUCUGGUUCUUCUCUCUUGCUCCUGGUUUUCUCUUCCUUGGCUUGGUUUCACGUAAAACUGUUUCUGACUCCCACUUUCUAUUUUCUUAACUUCCCACUUAAGAGUAACUCCCUCCUAAUUACACUUAACUCCCCCAAAUUCCUAAUAACUCCAAUUAAUUCCCCAAACACCAAAAUAAUUAAUAUUUCAUACUUAUUUUAAUUAUUAUUAAAUAAACCAUAUAAUAAAAUAAUAUACCAUAUAAAUCACCCAAAAUCAUACAUAUAAAUAUAAGCAUAUGCAUAUACUCCACAUAAAUCACCAAACCAUCAUAUAUAAAUAUAUAUAUACUCCACAUAGUUUAAAAUUAAUUAAAUAAAUAAUUAGGGCGUUACAUUAAUGCCCCAUAGUUGAGUUGCUUUUUUGCAUAUAUAAAUACUUCUGCACUUGUAGUUUAAUGACUUAUUAUGCGUUAUUUGAUGGUAUUUUUAAGAAUCAAUCCGCGUCUCUUUACUUUUUUACUUUGUUCUGCACAUAACAAAUUCAAGGACUUAUUUGAUGAUAUUUUUAUAUAAUGUAGGGAUCGAAUUGAAAUAGACAAAUAAUUUAAUGACAAACUUGAUGAAAAUAUUUUGACAGAAAUGUUGCUUUGAUUCAUCUUCAACCUCUUUUCAUAACAACAUUACACACGCCUAGUAUAAUACAGUAACAUGUUAAACUUAAGCUCAUACUUAAUACUUAAUCAACCUAAGCUCAAAUUCUGGGACACCAACAAUCAAGUACUCUCGCAUCACCAUUAAACAUAGAGCUUGAGGAUGAAUACCGACUUUGAUAACUAUUUUUGCUCAUAUGCUUACCACCCAUCAUUUCAGAUUCAACCUGAACACCAAAGUGAGAUUUUUUUUUGAGGAUUUUUGAAUUUCGAAUUCAAUAAAAAAAAAAUAAAGUUUUGGAGUUUUUGGAAUUGGGGAAGAACAUUGUCAUCAAUUAACAGAAGAAAUUUUGGGGAUUUUGAACUCUAGAUGACAAAUUAUAAAUUAGGGUUCUAAUUUUAUAGAUUUGAGGAAGAAAGAGCUAUAGUAUAACAGUCAUUCUUCUGCAAAUUAUGGAAUCCAAUUUUCUGCAAAUCAAUCAAUUUGGUCAUUGGAAAUUUUGUCACUUUCGGCCAAAUUAAUCCUUGCUUGUGUGACAUCUGACAUGACAAGCCUUGUGAGAGGUUAACAGAACACGUCAUCACCGUUAAUAUCCCAACUUAACGGAGAGACUAAUUUGAUUGACAUUUGACAACUUCAGAAACUAAUGUGAUAUUUCGACAAAUUGAAAGACGAAUUUGGAUAUUUACUUGAAACAAAACACAAGGAUUUGUCAAAUUUUACCAACCUUUUGACCUUUAUACUUUCAACCAUUUGAACCGUACUGUCCAUUCCAAAACUACCAACCAAGAGAACCAUACAAUCAUUAUCAAGACUCAACCAUUUAAACAAUAUUCCGCUUGUGUAACUUUGAGUUUUGUGAUUUUGUGACCUCUUAAUCUCUUAUCUAUCUCCUUACUAAUAAUUCUCUGUCACCAAAAUAAUUUAUUAAUCACUAAAAAAAAUCAUACCAUUGUUCUUUGUGUGUGUUAACCUUCCCAUUCUUAGAGGAAAGGUUAAUCCAAAGUAAAGUCAAACAAAAAUUGUUUCAUUCAAAAAUAGAACAGUACCAUCUUUUUCAAGAUUACCAUGAAUGUGUUGGAAAAAAAAACACACACACAAGUGGUUUGUAUUGCGUUGAUUGCGCAUUUAUUUGAACCACAAUUACUCGCACAACUCAUUAGAGAAGAAAUGAAGAAUACACGGUUACAGGAAAAAGUUGUAAUCAAUGCACUCAUGUAAAAAUUCGACGAAGUUUUUAUCAACCACAUUCCUCUUACUCUUAGGCUACCCAUUACGAAGCAAGAACCUUAGAUUCAAAAGUCCUCAGGCCAGGAUACUAUUGACAGACUAUACAAGCAGAUAUCAAAACAAUUUUAUGAUUUUAUAAUAUAUAUCAAAGGUUCCUUCAAAAAAAUAUAUAUAUAUCAAAGGCGUAACAUCAUCCUUAAGUCAUGAGACAAGUUAUAAGACUUACACUAUAUCUCAACCGUUAAACAUAAUAUAUCUAAGGGAUCAUAACAUUCCACCAGUCAAAUUAAAAAAAAUCCUUAGGUAAGGCACCACAUGUGAUUUCGUCUUCUUUCUCUUCAAGAUCCCACGGUGCCCCUGGAGAGUUUGUUUCAUGUUCUUUUUUAUUGAGUUGCAAUGCAAUCAAUAGUCCAACCAAAUAAUGGGUUGAUUGUUGAGCUGAGUGGAAAAGUUCCUACAAAAUGAGUUGCAACAAGGAUCAACAAGGUGCUCACAAAAUUACACCACGAUUGUUUAACUAUGUUUUUGAAAAUUGAAGGUUUGACAAAUUUAUAGAAAUUACAGAAACCUAAAUCAUGAAAAGAAAGGGAAAACAAAAAAUAAAGAUCUCAUGUAAGAAAGUCUUGUGAUCUUCUCAAUUUAUUAAUCUUGUUUUCUGAAGUCUCUAAUACCACAUUACCAUACUUUUUGACCACACCACAAGUUAACGUUGGCAAAGAUGGAAGAAAAUUGGGACAUUGCGAUGGUGGUUGGUGCUGUAGGUUUACAUGCAUCAAUAACAAAAGUCCUAUAGCACACCACGUUAACAUACUUAUUGAUUAAAUCUAACAAAACAACAUCCAAAUAAUUACAAUCCACCGAGUUGAAACCCUUUUCAAAAUCAACUUUGAAUAUAAUUAAUUCCUUUUUCAACUUGCGGGUUUCAUCCACUAACUCAUUACCCAUUAAAAUACCAUUGGUAAUUUGGCAACCAUGAACAAAGGUUGAUUGCUCCUCAAAAAUUACAAUUUCUAUUACCGUUCGUAAUUGAUUAACGAAGACUUUAGCCAACACUUUAUACAAACAUUCAUAAGGGAUACAAGGGUGAUAGUCUUUGAGGGCUAUCCCCCAUAGGAACAAAGGAGAUAAAAAUGUUGGUGAUACCUUUCACCAACUUAUCAUUUCAAUGAAACUUUUAAAUGAAGCGCAUAAAAUUGAUUUCAAAAUCUUCCCUAAACUCUUUGAUAAAACAAAAAUUAACACCAUCGGAGCUGAAUUUUUGUAAUUAUCGCAAUGCCAAAUGACUUGUUUCGCCUCCUCAAGAUUGAAAGGUUUUAAAAGAUAAACUCCUUGCACCAAACUCAAAGAUUUGAAAGUAAAAUUUUCUACCACUUUAUGACCAUUACCAUUUAUAGAGUGAAUAGCAUUAGACCGACGUCUAGAAGAUGAAACUCCAUGAAAUAAUUUGUUAUUAGCAUCCCCCUCUCCAAAUCAGCAUAUUCUUGAUUUCUCUCAAUGCAUGCUAGAAUUUAUUCUUGCCAAAGAGUGUAAAUUUUGUAGAUAAAUAAUGAAGCUCCUCUUAUGCGCUAAAUUCAUCUUUUAAAUCCAGAGAUGAAAUGCGUUCUUUUUUUUUGACGGAGAUGAAAUGCGUUCUUAAACAUAAAGAAUUAUGGUUUUCAAAUUUCGAGUAUGAUGUUAAUGUCAGGAUUUUAGUCUGCCUUUAAUCAACUUAAAUUUUUCUUUUAACACAAAACCUCCGCACGUAUCAUAACUUAUAAUACUUACUUAAAUAUUUUUUUUUGAAAUCUUUUUAAAAAUAUUUACUCAUAGUCGAACUCGUUGAUCCGACUUAUAUUCAAUCAUAGUCGAGUCGGGUUGCUUUGGAUUUGACAUAAAAAAAAAAAUUAUCAUUUCAUUUUUAGACAUCAUUUGUUUUUUAAAAAAAAAUGAUAUUCGUCUAUUCAAAUUGAUGAAAUCAUAUUCAUUACAACUCCCAAUGUAACUUUUGAACUAUCAAUUUUAUUCACUUUAGCCAUGGAUUUUUAUUUAUUGUGUUAAUCCUCUAGUUCUAAGGAAAAAAGAUCCUUGAUAAUUAGAAUAAAAUUUGAUCAAGAAUUGUUUCACCAGGAAUCAAACUCAGGCUCUCCUUAACAAUUUAUCUUUUGAUUGAGCUUAUUAACCACUUGAAUCAAAUUGCUUGAGUUUUAUUAUAGAUGCCUUCUUCCACGUUUUAUUACUUUAAAAAAAAUCAUAUUCUAAAUUUUGCUUGAUUUUACUCAGAUUUAGUUCUACAUGCUAACAUAAUUUUAGUAUACUAAUAUUUUUGUUGUAUAUUUGAAUUUUUGCCUCGCCAAAUUAAAUAUAACAUGCAUAAUUUUAGGUGUAUAUUUUUGUUGUGUAUUUUUUUUAAGUGUGAACUAAAAAGUGUAUAUUUUUAAAAAUAUAUAAAAGUUUUAAUUGAUCUGGUCGGCCCGAAAAAACUCGUAUCCCUCAAAGGGCUGAGAUUAAUUAAACAUUUUUUAGCCCGUUUAUCAUCCGAACCUUUUUGGUCGAACUUGAAAAGUCUGAACUUGACAUGGAUUUUGGUCCGAAUAGUCGGUUAACAUAUUUUGACGGCGCUAGAAUUCAUAGAUCACAUCUCGCCAAUGAGGUGUCUGCACUUAAGUUAAGGCGGUUGUAUUUUUUACUGAAUUUUUUGUUUAUUCAUACCAAUUGUAUCAAAAUUCUUAUUAUAUUUUUUUACCUAAUUUCGUUUAUUCAUACCAAUUGUAUUGAAAAAAUUAUCAUUAAUGAAAUGAAUUAAGUUUGUUGCUUAAAAAAACAUUUUCUAUCAAAAAAAUAGGUAUAAAUUGGCUGAGUGAGAAUGGAUAAUUAAAAAAUAAGUUUAUUGAGAAAAAAAUAAUAUAUACUUGCCAAAAAUAAAAAAUUAGUGAGAAAAAAUAUCUAAAGGAAUAUUCCAAGCAUGGGCCAACGGCGCACAAAAAACAAUGUCGGUGGACUCCACACAUCAGACUCAAUCAGUAUAUGAUUCCACGUAGCCCUAGUUUUAACCCAAUCCAUAACCCUAGUUAACAAUUCCUCUCCUAUAUAAACACCCCUCUGCGUUCACUGUGAAAAUAUCUUCCUUCAUCUUUUCCCCUAAUUCCUUCUCUGUCCCCAAUUCGAUUCGAUGGGUUCUUCUGAUGUUGAGUACCGUUGCUUCGUCGGAGGUCUUGCAUGGGCCACCGAUAGCCAAGCUCUCGAGCAAGCUUUCUCUAAGUUUGGUGAAAUCACUGAUUCCAAGGUCCGUGCGGAUUCUGAUUCGGAUUCGGAUUUCGAUUCUGAUCUGUGAUCUGUUCUGUUACUCUGUUACUUGAUCUGUUUGUUACUACUGAUUCUGUUACUGUGAUUGUGAUUCUGUUACUAUAUCAUUUGAUUCGAUUCUUUUGUUACUCAUACCAAUAGGUACGUUCAUCUUCAUCUUUUAACAAAAGGAGAAGAUCGAUCGGUUACUAUUCGGUUUUUUUGAUUUAUGAAUCUGUUUUGAUUGUUGAAUGUUGAUUUGUCAUGGAUCUGAAUUUUUGUUGUUUUUGUUUUGUUUAGGUGAUUAACGAUCGUGAAACUGGACGAUCAAGAGGUUUUGGUUUUGUGACAUUCGCUGAGGAGAAAUCGAUGAGAGAUGCAAUUGAGGAGAUGAACGGUCAGGAUAUUGACGGCAGGAAUAUUACUGUGAAUGAAGCUCAGUCCCGUGGUAGUGGUGGAGGAGGUAGAGGUGGUGGCGGCGGUGGUUAUGGUGGCGGCGGUGGUUAUGGAGGAGGCGGUGGUGGAUAUGGAGGAGGCGGUGGUCGUCGUGAUGGUGGAUACAGCAGAAGCGGUGGUGGUGGAGGCUAUGGGGGAGGAGGCGAUCGUGGAUAUGGUGGUGGAGGUGGUGGUGGUUAUGGUGGAGGUAGGGACCGUGGAUAUGGAGGUGGAGGUGGUGACCGUGGUUAUGGUGGUGGAGGUGGCGGUGAUCGCUACUCUCGUGGUGGUGGUGCUGAUAGCGGUGGAAACUGGAGGGAUUAGAAAAUUAGGUCUUCAGUUUGGUGGUUUAUGAUUAUGAAUGUUGUCAUGUUGAAUUAGUUU